ACGGGUGAGUAACACGUGAGGAACCUGCCCCGAAGACCGGGACAACACCGGGAAACCGGUGCUAAUACCGGAUGCCUUCACCGGAUCGCAUGGUCUGGUGAAGAAAUGGAUUCCGCUUCGGGAUGGCCUCGCGGCCUAUCAGCUUGUUGGUGAGGUAACGGCUCACCAAGGCAACGACGGGUAGCUGGUCUGAGAGGAUGUCCAGCCACACUGGGACUGAGACACGGCCCAGACUCCUACGGGAGGCAGCAGUUAGGGAUCUUGCGCAAUGGACGAAAGUCUGACGCAGCGACGCCGCGUGCGGGAUGAAGGCCCUCGGGUUGUAAACCGCUUUCAGCAGGGACGAAAUUGACGGUACCUGCAGAAGAAGCCCCGGCCAACUACGUGCCAGCAGCCGCGGUAAUACGUAGGGGGCAAGCGUUGUCCGGAUUUAUUGGGCGUAAAGAGCUCGUAGGUGGUUCGGUAAGUCGGAUGUGAAAUCUCCAGGCUCAACCUGGAGGGGUCAUUCGAUACUGCCGUGACUAGAGUUCGGUAGGGGAGUGUGGAAUUCCUGGUGGAGCGGUGAAAUGCGCAGA
This 575-nucleotide ribosomal RNA is filed under the name uncultured bacterium. Its description in RNAcentral is "bacterial SSU rRNA". It matches the Rfam family "Bacterial small subunit ribosomal RNA", at positions 102 to 694 of the family's 1533-position model. The record is from RNAcentral.